GGACGCAUGUGUGAGAUUAAGCUC
RNAcentral lists this non-coding RNA (24 nucleotides) under Arabidopsis thaliana (thale cress). The record is from RNAcentral. Lineage: Eukaryota; Viridiplantae; Streptophyta; Magnoliopsida; Brassicales; Brassicaceae.